CUAACGCUUGAAUACAUUAGCAUGGAAUAAUGAAUAGGACGUUCGAUCUUAUUUUGUUUGGUUUUCUUAAGAUUGACGUAAUGAUUAAUAGGGAUAUUGGGGGCAUUAGUAUUCAAUUGUCAGAGGUGAAAUUCUUUGGAUUUAUUUGAAGACUAACUACUGCGAAAAGCAUUUUGCCAAGGAUGUUUUCAUUAAUCAAGAACGAAAGUUAGGGGAUCGAAGACGAUCAGAUACCGUCGUAGUCUUAACCAUAAACUAUGCCGACUAGGGAUCGGAUGAUGUUAAUUUUUUAAUGACUCAUUCGGCGCCUUACG
RNAcentral lists this ribosomal RNA (314 nucleotides) under uncultured Glomus. Its description in RNAcentral is "SSU rRNA". It matches the Rfam family "Eukaryotic small subunit ribosomal RNA", at positions 788 to 1092 of the family's 1831-position model. Lineage: Eukaryota; Fungi; Glomeromycota; Glomeromycetes; Glomerales; Glomeraceae. The record is from RNAcentral.